GUGAGGAAUAUUGGUCAAUGGGCGGGAGCCUGAACCAGCCAAGUCGCGUGAAGGAAGAAGGAUCUAUGGUUCGUAAACUUCUUUUGCAGGGGAAUAAAGUGCAGGACGUGUCCUGUUUUGUAUGUACCCUGAGAAUAAGGAUCGGCUAACUCCGUGCCAGCAGCCGCGGUAAUACGGAGGAUCCGAGCGUUAUCCGGAUUUAUUGGGUUUAAAGGGUGCGUAGGUGGUUUGAUAAGUCAGCGGUGAAAGUUUGCAGCUUAACUGUAAAAUUGCCGUUGAAACUGUCGGUCUUGAGUGCAAAUGAGGUAGGCGGAAUGUGUUGUGUAGCGGUGAAAUGCUUAGAUAUCACGCAGAACUCCGAUUGCGAAGGCAGCUUACUAAGCUACAACUGACACUGAAGCACGAAAGCGUGGGGAUCAAACAGGAUUAGAAACCCGUGUAGUCC
RNAcentral lists this ribosomal RNA (445 nucleotides) under uncultured bacterium. RNAcentral describes it as "partial 16S ribosomal RNA". It matches the Rfam family "Bacterial small subunit ribosomal RNA", at positions 354 to 796 of the family's 1533-position model. The record is from RNAcentral.